AUAUCUAUGGUCUGAGUUAUUAAGGUUUUGACGUCCAAAGGUCAAUCUGGAUUUCCUGUGAAAUACUUCACUGUUUUCAGUAAAACGUCUAUAUCAUAUGAUCUUGGAAAAUUUUCAUAUUUUAACCUAGAAAACUACUUGAAAUUAUCUUUCUAAUUCCACAAAUUUCAUAUGAAACGGAGUUGGGAUGAAUUUUAUAAAAUCUGCCGAAGUUUGCUGCCUCAACUAAACUUGAC
RNAcentral lists this long non-coding RNA (236 nucleotides) under Olea europaea subsp. europaea. Lineage: Eukaryota; Viridiplantae; Streptophyta; Magnoliopsida; Lamiales; Oleaceae. The record is from RNAcentral.